UUAACUAAUUUACAUAUAAAAUAAGUUUAUUUUAAACGUUCUGAUUAACAAAUUAGUUCCUGACAAUAAUAGAAACAAUAUUUGUUUAACGUUAUAACAAGUAAUUUCUAAGAUAAGAUGGAUUUAUUGCAAUCAAUCUUGCUAUAUUAUCCUUUACAUGUUAUUAUCAGGAUUAUGAGAUGGUAAAGGGUUUUACAUCAUCUAGUUAAGCACCGAACUGGGGGAUUGAAAGCCAUUUCUGCCAUGUCAAAGUCUCUACAAAGUUCUUCUGGAGUGCUGAAAGUAAAUAAAAACAAGUUUUAAA
Molecule: long non-coding RNA, 304 nt
Organism: Agrilus planipennis (emerald ash borer)
Lineage: Eukaryota; Metazoa; Arthropoda; Insecta; Coleoptera; Buprestidae
Exons: 3
Source: RefSeq, a predicted model, not a curated record